This is a long non-coding RNA of Pseudopipra pipra, 2406 nucleotides long. RefSeq lists it as uncharacterized. Lineage: Eukaryota; Metazoa; Chordata; Aves; Passeriformes; Pipridae. The transcript is spliced from 2 exons. The record is from RefSeq and is a predicted model, not a curated record.
AGGAAGAAAUUCUGUACAGGAAGGGUAAUCAGACAUUGGAAUGGGCUGCCCAGGGAAGUGGUGGAUUCUCCAUCCCUGGGGGUUUUUAAGAUAAGACUGGAUGUGGCACUUAGUGCCAUGGUCUAGCAACCACGGUGGUAGUGGAUCAUGGGUUGGACUCGAUGAUCUUUGAGGUCCCUUCCAACCCAGCUGAUUCUAUAAUUCUAUGAUUCUAUGAUUCUACAGCACCUUGGUCACACGCCCUUGCACAAGGGCUGGGCGUGUGUUCCCUGGGCUCCUCUGGGCAGUGUCGUGACAGCAGCCCUAUUUGCUAACGGUAGUGGGACAGAGCACAGCGGGGACACACACAGGCGGGACAGGAGGUACCACCCGGCAAAGGCAGAGAAGGACACAGGGCACGGCGCUUCCACCAGAGCCCGCUGGAUGGCAGUGACAGGUCUGGGACGGAGUAGGUCCCUGCACAGCUCCCCUGGAUUUGCUCCCUGGAAAAGAGAGUGAAACCUAUUCUAGAGCCUGUAUCGUGAGCACACAGCAGAAACUAGAAAGGAUAUCACGGAAAAGUGCUGGCACGGGAGAACUGGUGCUCAGACAGGCCCAGACAGAGCCUCAGGGGAGACACAGGAAAGCAGGUGUGACAUAAGCAGCUGAAGUUCCCCCCUUUGGCCACUCAGAGGACACCUGUCCAGGUCUUCCACCAUCUUUCCUCAGGACCCAUUUGAACCAUGUUACUCAGUCCUCCUGAUGUGCAACGAUGUAGUCACAGACACAAGUCCCUUUUCCUGUGAUUACUGAUUUGACAUUCAGUCCUCUGACCCAGCCUGGGUAUGAUGGACAUCCAGGGGACACACAACAGUCUCUGGUCAUAGAGGAGCCAAUCCUUUUCUGGAGCACAUCUGAAGAGAUGAUGCAGGAGAGGACACGGUACAUGUCCCUCAGACACCUGCAGUGGCUGUGUGGCCCAUGGUAGCUCAGAGGCUGGCUGCUGUGUUUUCUGAGUCCCGCAUGUUCGUUCGAUCCUCAUUUUUUUCAGAAAGGAAAUGUUGGUGUCCUGGGAGCAGCAAGCACAGAAAAGCUCAUAUUCAGUUACUAUGCCUCAAAAGAAGGGUGGCCACAACCCUGACCCAGCAAAAACUGUCCUGGUUCAUUUUAUCCACUGGCCCUUCUGAUGUCCUUGAGAGUGUGAGGAAGGAGAGACUGUGCAAGCCUCUGGCCUGGCUCUUGUAGCUGGCACAGGCAGAUGUGUCCUGGAUGCACAGUACCCCUGCAUGCAGUCCUCUCCUUCCCUAAGGCGAGCAACAAAUUCACUGAGGCCUGCUUGUAGUGGCAGUCCACACCCUUUACCAUGAUGUGAAUGGAUGUUCUGGGUCACUGCAAGCUGCUUUUGGUAUGGAUUUCUUCUCCUUCCUGGCCAGGCACAUUUUUUCUUGAACAGUAUCUAGGUUUCCACCCUAUCAGUACUCACUCACCUCUCACUAAAUGUAAAACGCCUGUUUAAGCACUAAAACAACAUGACCUUGCAGAGUUUUCAUCUAUCUAUCUGUUAACAAGCAGGUUGAAAUUACUGGUUACAUGCCCAGCACUGCUACGCAAAGGCCAAGGAUCUUUAAUGCCUUUUUUUGUGGCUAACAAAAGCUGACAGCAAGCUUGCCUCUUACCCGUCUAUACUCUCUCUCCUCUAUGCCACAUGAAAUUGCUGCAGCCCUUUGAACUUGAUAAGAAGUAUUGUCAAUUAAUUUCAGCUCAACUGUGAGCCCAGCAGGCGCCUGCAGGGAGAAUGAAGCUAUGGAGGGGAAUGGGCAGCAGGGUGGUGCUGCUGCCUCGAGGCACUGGGUCGAGCUCAGUAGAAAGCUCUGGCAGAGGACACAGAGAGGGUUUUGCUUUCUCAUGGACAACAAAUCAUUUCCACAUCCAGGUGUAUGUUCAAAGAUCCCCACCUCCUGCAAAGGGAGCGAGCCUCCUGGGUGAGGAGAUGUGGUGUAAGUGCCUGGAGAUGUCUUCAAGGGGAUUUCCUUGAUAAAAGACAGGUGCCAUCACAGAAUGGCAUCCCACCUGCCCUGCUGCAAAUGGGUAUUUCUCAAGUCCACAGUAAGAUCCAGAGGUGCUCAAGGCACCAACUUCUUUUUCAACAGAACCUUAUAAUUUAAUUUUCUCAGGAGGAAGAAGAUAGCUUUUCACUAGCAGAGAAGUUGAAUCUUGAAAUAUUUGCCUUAAAACCCAGAGGCUGGAGUUCAGAUGUUUCUUAAAUAGGAGCUUAUCAAACUGUAAAUACCACUGUCAUCCAUCAUGAUAAGGAGAGACAGUUAUAUUGCAGGAAUCAUAUCACAGGAGAUACAGGUCAGCUGAGAAGGCUGAGUACAGAAAAGUACAGAGGUACAAAUAAACAAAAUUGCACCAUUUCCCUGGCAA